This is a long non-coding RNA of Pseudophryne corroboree (corroboree frog), 892 nucleotides long. RefSeq lists it as uncharacterized. The record is from RefSeq and is a predicted model, not a curated record. The transcript has 7 exons. NCBI's taxonomy places the organism in Eukaryota, Metazoa, Chordata, Amphibia, Anura, Myobatrachidae.
GUAAGGAGUUCUGUCUGGAGUUUGUGGUGGGGAUUGUCAUGUGGACUCUUGUGGAGUUGUGUUACAGAAGUGUGUUGAACUGUCUAUAACCCACCGGUGGUUUUUUAUCUACCACUGCGCCCGAAUGAUUUGGAACCCAGUAACUUCACAGGUUCAUAAUCUUUUGCAGCGAUGUAUUCUGGGAAGGGGACAGCUGUGGCGCUAGUUUUCAGCCUCCUGGUGCUGUGUGUUGUUGGCUUCUCCGGCUUCUUCAUUGAAAACCAAGGGUAACUCCCAGGGGAAGCUGCACACUGCAACCUAAAUUCUGGUCAUACACAGGACUCGCCUAUAACCUGACCACACCCACAUCCCAAAAUCCUAUAUAUGUCUGUGCACCUGCAACGUGAGCAGAAGACGCUGGGUAUACUGCACAGGAAACUGAUAGAGGAAAUCUAUGAAACAUGGCACUCACACCAAUGCACCUGCUGGUGACUUUUAGUGUGGCCGCCCUGCUGAUAUAUGCACCGACGACAACUAAUUCACAGACCACCACUAUGCAAUGCAGAGAGAACCAAGAAUACAAGGCAUCUGAAAGUGACUGCCCAACCUGCAGCAACUACAGAACACCUCGUACAUGUCCUCCAGGUUGUGUCUGCAAGGAGGGUUUCCUACCCGAUGAUAAUGGAAACUGUGUGGAAAGGGCUACGUGUGAGUCCUGUAAAGGGAACACAACGUACAACAGCUGCGCCUCAAUUUGUGGCCGACGCUGCGAGGACAAGAAAAAGGAGGAGACUGAUAAAAAGCCAGUAAUCUGCCACAAUCCAUUAUGCAAGGGAGGCUGUGUCUGUAAGCCGGGGUAUUGGUAUCUGAAUAACACGUGUGUGCCUGCUCAGGAUUGCCCAUGAAAUAAAUA